AAUAUCAACUAAGCGGAAGGAACAUU
RNAcentral lists this ribosomal RNA (26 nucleotides) under Aspergillus carbonarius. Its description in RNAcentral is "partial 18S ribosomal RNA". Lineage: Eukaryota; Fungi; Ascomycota; Eurotiomycetes; Eurotiales; Aspergillaceae. The record is from RNAcentral.